CCAAUAGCGUAUAUUAAAGUUGUUGCAGUUAAAAAGCUCGUAGUUGAAUUUCGGGAUCAGUACGCUGGUCAUGCCUUUGGUAUGCACUGGUGUCACUGGUUUCUCCCUUCUGACGAUCCGUGAUGUCAUUAAUUUGGUGUCGCGGGGAAUCAGGACUGUUACUUUGAAAAAAUUAGAGUGUUUAAAGCAGGCUCACGCUUGAAUACAUUAGCAUGGAAUAAUGAAAUAGGACGUUUGACCCUAUUUUGUUGGUUUCUAGGAUCGACGUAAUGAUUAAUAGGGAUAGUUGGGGGCAUUAGUAUUCAAUUGUCAGAGGUGAAAUUCUUGGAUUUAUUGAAGACUAACUACUGCGAAAGCAUUUGCCAAGGAUGUUUUCAUUAAUCAAGAACGAAAGUUAGGGGAUCGAAGACGAUCAGAUACCGUCGUAGCCUUAACCAUAAACUAUGCCGACUAGGGAUCGGAUGAUGUUAAUUUUAUAAUGACUCAUUCGGCGCUUUACG
RNAcentral lists this ribosomal RNA (500 nucleotides) under uncultured Glomeromycotina. Its description in RNAcentral is "partial small subunit ribosomal RNA". It matches the Rfam family "Eukaryotic small subunit ribosomal RNA", at positions 591 to 1092 of the family's 1831-position model. The record is from RNAcentral. Lineage: Eukaryota; Fungi; Glomeromycota.